Molecule: ribosomal RNA, 805 nt
Filed under: Pseudarthrobacter sp.
Lineage: Bacteria; Bacillati; Actinomycetota; Actinomycetes; Micrococcales; Micrococcaceae
Description: bacterial SSU rRNA
Rfam family: Bacterial small subunit ribosomal RNA
Source: RNAcentral
CGAUGAUCUCCAGCUUGCUGGGGGGAUUAGUGGCGAACGGGUGAGUAACACGUGAGUAACCUGCCCUUGACUCUGGGAUAAGCCUGGGAAACUGGGUCUAAUACCGGAUAUGACCUUCCAUCGCAUGGUGGUUGGUGGAAAGCUUUUGUGGUUUUGGAUGGACUCGCGGCCUAUCAGCUUGUUGGUGGGGUAAUGGCCUACCAAGGCGACGACGGGUAGCCGGCCUGAGAGGGUGACCGGCCACACUGGGACUGAGACACGGCCCAGACUCCUACGGGAGGCAGCAGUGGGGAAUAUUGCACAAUGGGCGCAAGCCUGAUGCAGCGACGCCGCGUGAGGGAUGACGGCCUUCGGGUUGUAAACCUCUUUCAGUAGGGAAGAAGCGAAAGUGACGGUACCUGCAGAAGAAGCGCCGGCUAACUACGUGCCAGCAGCCGCGGUAAUACGUAGGGCGCAAGCGUUAUCCGGAAUUAUUGGGCGUAAAGAGCUCGUAGGCGGUUUGUCGCGUCUGCCGUGAAAGUCCGGGGCUCAACUCCGGAUCUGCGGUGGGUACGGGCAGACUAGAGUGAUGUAGGGGAGACUGGAAUUCCUGGUGUAGCGGUGAAAUGCGCAGAUAUCAGGAGGAACACCGAUGGCGAAGGCAGGUCUCUGGGCAUUAACUGACGCUGAGGAGCGAAAGCAUGGGGAGCGAACAGGAUUAGAUACCCUGGUAGUCCAUGCCGUAAACGUUGGGCACUAGGUGUGGGGGACAUUCCACGUUUUCCGCGCCGUAGCUAACGCAUUAAGUGCCCCGCCUGGGGAGUAC